RNAcentral lists this ribosomal RNA (513 nucleotides) under uncultured bacterium. RNAcentral's name for it is "partial 16S ribosomal RNA". It matches the Rfam family "Bacterial small subunit ribosomal RNA", at positions 28 to 523 of the family's 1533-position model. The record is from RNAcentral.
GACGAACGCUGGCGGCGUGCCUAAUACAUGCAAGUUGAGCGCUGAAGGUUGGUACUUGUACCGACUGGAUGAGCAGCGAACGGGUGAGUAACGCGUGGGGAAUCUGCCUUUGAGCGGGGGACAACAUUUGGAAACGAAUGCUAAUACCGCAUAACAACUUUAAACACAAGUUUUAAGUUUGAAAGAUGCAAUUGCAUCACUCAAAGAUGAUCCCGGGUUGUAUUAGCUAGUUGGUGAGGUAAAGGCUCACCAAGGCGAUGAUACAUAGCCGUCCUGAGAGGGUGAUCGGCCACAUUGGGACUGAGACACGGCCCAAACUCCUACGGGAGGCAGCAGUAGGGAAUCUUCGGCAAUGGACGAAAGUCUGACCGAGCAACGCCGCGUGAGUGAAGAAGGUUUUCGGAUCGUAAAACUCUGUUGGUAGAGAAGAACGUUGGUGAGAGUGGAAAGCUCAUCAAGUGACGGUAACUACCCAGAAAGGGACGGCUAACUACGUGCCAGCAGCCGCUGUAA